GCGGUGGUGGAGCUGGGGGCCGGGCGUACCCGCGGUGUGACAGGAUGGACGCCCCCCGUCUCUAGCCGUUCAGCUGCGCGGCUGUGCCUGCUGGUGGCGGUACCGGUGCGGCCUGGUGAACCUUGCCGGACCGACGUCUGAACCGACGGGUCGUGUGAUGUUGCUCUGGCUCUUUGGCUGUUUGUUUGUUUCUUCUUUUUUUUUUCGCGCGGCGUCGUGUGGGUGUAGCCGGUGUGCUUGCUUGGCGGAGACAGUACGGGUUCGUCUAGGUGCGCGGGAGUGGCCUGGCCGGUGCACGGCGGCGGUGCUCGUGCUGGGAGAUGACGACGACAGGCGGCGGAGGAGCGUCAACGCGUCGCGACUUUCACGAGGCCGUGAGCUCGUCGGCACGGGAAGUGACGGGCGACGAGCAUGCUUUGUCGAAAUUUUUUUUAAGAAUCCCCGUCAUAUUGAAUCGUUAAAUUCAUAUAUAAAGUAUUAAAUAAAGAUAAAAAAAUUAAUUACAUAAUUUAUCUGUAAUUUAUGAGACGAGCCUAAAGUCAGUCUCAAUGGAAGUUUCAUGUGAGUUUUAUUUACAUUAAAUAAGUUGCCUCAUAGGUUUUUCUAUGAUAUGACGGUGU
Molecule: long non-coding RNA, 620 nt
Filed under: Sorghum bicolor (sorghum)
Lineage: Eukaryota; Viridiplantae; Streptophyta; Magnoliopsida; Poales; Poaceae
Description: long non-coding RNA (SBIC_LNC018318)
Source: RNAcentral